CUUUAUUCCACGUUUUUUUCCUCACGUUGGUACACGUGAUAUUGUUGAUCAUUCCCCUUAAAUAAGGAUAGUGUGAAUGGAAACCACAUCUGUGGCUGCGCACACACUUGUGCACUAUUAAAAUCUCCUGCGCUGUUGGAUAGCCUCCGUUGACAAUGGCUGCGUGACCGGAAUGGCUUUUCAGCAUUUUACAGAUGGUUGCACUGAAAAAGUGAGGAUUUAACUCGAUUGAAUCGGCUAAAACCGGUUUUAACAGGGGUGGAAAUACUUUUAUGCCCGGGGUUCUAGUCUUACGGUAGACAUUUGAAUGCUUUGAAGAAACUAUUUCUGGCGACCCAAGAGCUAGCGCUUAUUUAGCC
Molecule: long non-coding RNA, 359 nt
Organism: Nymphalis io (European peacock)
Lineage: Eukaryota; Metazoa; Arthropoda; Insecta; Lepidoptera; Nymphalidae
Exons: 4
Source: RefSeq, a predicted model, not a curated record